GAUGAACGCUGGCGGCGUGCCUAAUACAUGCAAGUCGAGCGAACAGACGAGGAGCUUGCUCCUCUGAUGUUAGCGGCGGACGGGUGAGUAACACGUGGAUAACCUACCUAUAAGACUGGGAUAACUUCGGGAAACCGGAGCUAAUACCGGAUAACAUGUUGAACCGCAUGGUUCAACAGUGAAAGACGGUUUUGCUGUCACUUAUAGAUGGAUCCGCGCCGCAUUAGCUAGUUGGUAAGGUAACGGCUUACCAAGGCAACGAUGCGUAGCCGACCUGAGAGGGUGAUCGGCCACACUGGAACUGAGACACGGUCCAGACUCCUACGGGAGGAAGCAGUAGGGAAUCUUCCGCAAUGGGCGAAAGCCUGACGGAGCAACGCCGAGUGAGUGAAGAAGGUCUUCGGAUCGUAAAACUCUGUUAUUAGGGAAGAACAAAUGUGUAAGUAACUAUGCACGUCUUGACGGUACCUAAUCAGAAAGCCACGGCUAACUACGUG
Molecule: ribosomal RNA, 497 nt
Filed under: uncultured bacterium
Lineage: Bacteria
Description: partial 16S ribosomal RNA
Rfam family: Bacterial small subunit ribosomal RNA
Source: RNAcentral